GCUCGCUUCGGCAGCACAUAUACUAAAAUUGGAACGAUACAGAGAAGAUUAGCAUGGCCCCUGAGCAAGCAGAAAAGUUGUUUUCCUUCAUUUGCAAGGAAUUGUA
Molecule: non-coding RNA, 106 nt
Organism: Podarcis lilfordi (Lilford's wall lizard)
Lineage: Eukaryota; Metazoa; Chordata; Lepidosauria; Squamata; Lacertidae
Source: the annotation of a GenBank genome assembly